Oncorhynchus tshawytscha (Chinook salmon) is the source of this 412-nucleotide long non-coding RNA. The record is from Ensembl. Lineage: Eukaryota; Metazoa; Chordata; Actinopteri; Salmoniformes; Salmonidae.
CUAGUGAACGGUACAACAUGGGGUACUGAAACACCCAUAUCACUAUUGAUAGGUACAGCAUGGGGUACUGAAAUCCCCAUAUCACUAGUGACAGGUACAGCAUGUGGUACUGAAACCCCCAUAUCACUAGUGACAGGUACAGCAUGUGGUACUGAAACCCCCAUAUCACUAGUGACAGGUACAGCAUGUGGUACUGAAACCCCCAUAUCACUAGUGACAGGUACAGCAUGGGGUACUGAAACCCCCAUAUCACUAGUGACAGGUACAGCGUGGGGUACUGAAACCCCCAUAUCACUAGUGACAGGUACAGCAUGGGGUACUGACACCCCCAUAUCACUAUUGACCGGUACAGAGUAGGGUACUGAAACCCCAUAUCACUAGUGACAGGUACAGCAUGUAGUACUGAAAUCCC